RNAcentral lists this ribosomal RNA (653 nucleotides) under Epizoanthus arenaceus. RNAcentral's name for it is "partial large subunit ribosomal RNA". It matches the Rfam family "Bacterial large subunit ribosomal RNA", at positions 1865 to 2461 of the family's 2925-position model. The record is from RNAcentral. Lineage: Eukaryota; Metazoa; Cnidaria; Anthozoa; Zoantharia; Epizoanthidae.
AAUGGUUGUAUCUAAAAACGGUUGAUAAAAGUCGACUUCAUAAGGACAAUUGAAUGGCCGCGGUAACACUGACCGUGAUAAUGUAGCGUAAUCAAUAGCCAAUUAAUUGUUGGCCAGUAUGAAUGGCGUCACGAAGGCCCCACUGUCUUAAGAGAAUUCCCAGUGAAAUUGAAUUCGUAGUGAAGAUGCUACGUCCAAUUUGUUAGACGAAAAGACCCCAUUGAGCUUUACUGGAGUCUUACAUUGCUCGGAUCAACUCUCGCCCCCCCCUUGGCGGGGGGGUCGAAUUUAAAUGGAUAGCUUAGAUUAUGUGGUGUCAUAACCGUCGAUCAAGUAGUCCUUACAGGAUUACCCCCCCGAAGGUUGACCUAUUUGGGUGAAUGAAACCCCACUCUUCUUUGUUAAAUGAGCUAACCCUUUUCUCCCUUAAAGGGGACAAUGUAAGUUGGACAGUUUGGUUGGGGCGACCGCCUUUUAAAGAGUAACGAAGGUGUGCUUAAGGUACAUAAUUUAUAACACAAGCCUGACUGCGAGGGGGACCCUCCGAGCAGACACCUAAAGUCUUCUCCCUUCCCCCCGAAGGUUAAAGACGAAUGGUGGGUUAUAGUGACCCGUUAAUUUAGAGUGGAAUAGUUAACGAUCAACGAAUAAAA